RNAcentral lists this unclassified non-coding RNA (1212 nucleotides) under Homarus americanus (American lobster). RNAcentral's name for it is "exocyst complex component 5-like, transcript variant X7". Lineage: Eukaryota; Metazoa; Arthropoda; Malacostraca; Decapoda; Nephropidae. The record is from RNAcentral.
AGCGGCCACGGGAGGAUGACCAAGCCCUGCACGAGGAGGCAAGAGACCCAAGAAGUUUUAAACACAACUCUCCUUAACCUCAGCAGACAAGACAUCGCCAGGCAGGAGCUGUGUACACUGCCGGCUACACAAGGCUGUACCGGAGUCUACUACCAUGAUCACAAACACCAAAGAUAUCCGGCGCAGCGAGUUACCAGCAGCAGGAAACACGGAGGCAGUACUUGUCAUGAUAACGUUAGUGAACCUGUCGAGUUGCAAGACCGGGACCUGAUACCUUAUACCUGGUACUUGGGACCUGGGACCUGGGACCUAAAAAAUGGAGAGCUGAGAGAAAAUGGACCUGGUACUUGAGACCUGGAAAUGAUAACCUGGGACCUGGAGAAAAUGGAACUGAACCUCGAUAUCUUGUAUCUGAAACUCACGACCUGAGACCUGGACCCAUCUCUCCAGGACCUGAACCUGUCCUGGUGGUGAUGUGGCCUCAACACCUUCAUGGUGAUGGACGAACAGAUGACACUUCAAGCUGAUCAUGUGAAGAAUGACGACAGAGCUCUGGCCCAGGCGGAUGGCGACAUCUUUGAGAGAAAAACAAAACUAUACAUUAAUUACUUCACUUAAUUUACCUGAUUUAUGAGUUAUGGGUCAGAGUCAGCUGAUACAAGUUAGAAACAUCAUUGGAGACAGCUCUGAUAGAAUUAUUGUGUCCUAAGGAUACCACCCCAGCGAGAAGGAAGAGACAUCGGCCAGGGUCACUACUUCAAGUAUGGGAGACAUGGCUUUGAUAUCACUACUACUGUUGGUCUUGAGCGCGGUGACAACGGCCGUAUCCCCAGCAGACGUCAUCAAACCCGGAGCUUUAGUUGCCUCACUAGGCUAAGUACUGGUAGUUCAAGACUUUGUAACUGUCAAGUAUGAGCUCCAUGACUUAAUGCACAUGCCAGUGCAUCUGAGGUCAAUAGCUGUCCACAUUGAAACAGCUAUGCAAACUCUGCAAGAUCUCCAACAACAAACUACAAUCUCUACAACACUCCGUCAGACCAUCUCUCUUCAGAACGACCGUCUGAAGAGUCUACUCAAGACAGUAACGCCUGUAUUAUUAAACAACAUCUUCCCCUUGAAGAGGGUCAUCGUGUUUCAACCUGAGUUUUAAACUAAAUGAGUCCUGAGGGACACUGCAGUACAGUACUUAACAGGGUGGUGUGGCGGUAAAAU